GUCUCAGUCUUUAAAGGGACAUUCUACCAGUGGAGACAUGAAUAUGUAUUGAAAGUGGGUCAUAUAUGUAGUAGAAUAGUAGCAUAAAUUUCUAAUUUGGUGCCUUCUUGACCGAGAAAAGGCAGAAAAUGACUUUUUAGUGCAUGUGGAUUGCAGACAACAAUCCCCAUAGUGCAUUGCAAUGCUCAAGCUCCGCAGGCCACUCCCACUGUCGAACUCAAUUGUUCAACUCCGCCCAUAAUCUGUCAACCAAGGCUCGAGCGUUGAGCUCAACUCUACGCUACCUGGAAAUCAUUUCACACAAUUUCUAGUGAAGAGUUAGUUUGCGAACUCAUUAGUGAAUUACUCCUCGUUUGUGUUUCGAAAUGGUGUGCACUUGCAUGGUAGCGGGAUGUUUAGCCAGCACAAGGAAAAUACACGGAGUACAUUUUCAUAGAUUACCCAAAGAGUUGGAGUUGUGCAAAAAGUGGCUACGGGCUAUCAAUAACCCGAAGUUCGGACAGGACACAGCCAUUGAAGCACUAAAACAUCUGACGGUGUGCAGUCUACAUUUCAAGGCAGAAGACUUCGAACCCAACCCCUUAGGAGUGAAGAGACCCGCACUUGUGAAAACCGCAAUUCCGUCGAUAUUUACCUUACCAGAUGAUGUCGACGAACAGCCAGGAACUUCUGAAACUAGCAGUGCUAGCUGCACUAAACGCAUUUGCCUGGAGUCACCAUGCCCAAGUACACCUGGUCUUGAUACCAGUGCCAGCACCCUUGAAGUUGGUGAAACAGAUGAAAGGCACUACAAAACAGGUGGAAGUGCAUUCCACACCAUGUGGUCAAUGAACACCGAUGGACUGACAUGGAUGGAAAGCGGCAUCACUGUGACCAUGCUCCUCUAACAGCUGAGGAGCAGAAAAAGAGGAUGUGGCUGAAGAAGGACUCGGUGGCAUAUCAGGACCUGACGUCGCUCGUCUUUGAUAAAAGGCUUUUGAAAGAUCUUCAGAAGAUGGCCCUCUUCAAACAUACUGGGCCACUGGAGAUUGUUCACAGAGGGGCGGGAUUUAGAGAGUGUCCAAUAACACCCCACCACCAAUACUGGUGCAGCCAAAGCGAGGGACCACUCACAUCAAGUGGGUGAAACUAACGAGGGUUACAAAUGGAUAGUCAAGAAAAUCUAUAAGCCACACACCACCAAGUUCAUCCAGACACUAAUUGAGAAGGUCAUAGAAAACAGACGCAACCCAAUUAUAACAUUCAAGGACUCAACCGCCUCACUCACCCAACCACAACCUCCUUUGCCACCUAACAUUGCCCCUGUCCCAAAGCCGCCAAAGAAAGCUGCCAACAUCAUCAUUCAAGAGCCGCUUCUGAGACGUCAGCUCUACAUUAACCCAUUCCUCACAAAUCCGCAACCUUAUCCUUGCACUGCCUUACCUGUUUGCACUGCCAUUGUGCACCUUACUAUCCAUCAGUGUUUCUCAAACUUUUUUUCUGGGGACCCACUUUUUAAAAAUGACAGACUAUCGCGA
Molecule: long non-coding RNA, 1517 nt
Organism: Alosa sapidissima (American shad)
Lineage: Eukaryota; Metazoa; Chordata; Actinopteri; Clupeiformes; Clupeidae
Exons: 3
Source: RefSeq, a predicted model, not a curated record